UGCAGUCGACGAACUUCCGUUAAUUGAUUAUGACGUACUUGUACUGAUUGAGAUUUUAACACGAAGUGAGUGGCGAACGGGUGAGUAACACGUGGGUAACCUGCCCAGAAGUAGGGGAUAACACCUGGAAACAGAUGCUAAUACCGUAUAACAGAGAAAACCGCAUGGUUUUCUUUUAAAAGAUGGCUCUGCUAUCACUUCUGGAUGGACCCGCGGCGUAUUAGCUAGUUGGUGAGGUAAAGGCUCACCAAGGCAGUGAUACGUAGCCGACCUGAGAGGGUAAUCGGCCACAUUGGGACUGAGACACGGCCCAGACUCCUACGGGAGGCAGCAGUAGGGAAUCUUCCACAAUGGACGCAAGUCUGAUGGAGCAACGCCGCGUGAGUGAAGAAGGGUUUCGGCUCGUAAAGCUCUGUUGUUAAAGAAGAACGUGGGUAAGAGUAACUGUUUACCCAGUGACGGUAUUUAACCAGAAAGCCACGGCUAACUACGUGCCAGCAGCCGGCGGU
Molecule: ribosomal RNA, 509 nt
Filed under: Pediococcus pentosaceus
Lineage: Bacteria; Bacillati; Bacillota; Bacilli; Lactobacillales; Lactobacillaceae
Description: bacterial SSU rRNA
Rfam family: Bacterial small subunit ribosomal RNA
Source: RNAcentral